This 492-nucleotide ribosomal RNA is filed under the name uncultured bacterium. RNAcentral's name for it is "partial 16S ribosomal RNA". It matches the Rfam family "Bacterial small subunit ribosomal RNA", at positions 29 to 507 of the family's 1533-position model. The record is from RNAcentral.
AGUGAACGCUGGCGGUAGGCCUAACACAUGCAAGUCGAACGGCAGCACAGUAAGAGCUUGCUCUUACGGGUGGCGAGUGGCGGACGGGUGAGGAAUACAUCGGAAUCUACUUUUUCGUGGGGGAUAACGUAGGGAAACUUACGCUAAUACCGCAUACGACCUACGGGUGAAAGCAGGGGAUCUUCGGACCUUGCGCGAUUGAAUGAGCCGAUGUCGGAUUAGCUAGUUGGCGGGGUAAAGGCCCACCAAGGCGACGAUCCGUAGCUGGUCUGAGAGGAUGAUCAGCGACACUGGAACUGAGACACGGUCCAGACUCCUACGGGAGGCAGCAGAGGGGAAUAUUGGGCAAUGGGCGCAAGCAUGAUACAGCGAUACCGCGUGGGUGAAGGAGGCGUUCGGGUUGUAAAGACCUUUUGUUGGGAAAGAAAAGCAGCAGGUUAAUACCCAGCUGUUCUGACGGUACCCAAAGAAUAAGCACCGGCUAACUUCGUG